GGGAGGGCGUGGAGAGGUUUCGUCUCAACUGCUAUUGGCUAAAGACAGUGCGUUGGACACACCUGUGAGUGCCAGAGGCUAAGGAGAUUGGCUGCGACCUGAAAAUUACACCUGUGGGGGGGGGGAGGUGGGGGGUAGGCUACAUGUAAACCCUUUACAUAUUCUGUGUCUGUCUUGUUGAGGAGCUAAACCGCCGAACGCCACCACCGAGAGCUCUUGGAAACAACCAAGUUGUGAUCAAGCGACAGAAAGAUAGCUGACGCGCUACCAACUGGUUGAUUUUUUUUUUCCGGGUAUGGCUGACGCUACGGCUGCAUUUGCCGGAAAGGGAUGGACUUUUUUUCUAACUCAGCAACAAUUCAGAGGUUGACCCUCCUUCACCAAAACAGGAAAGAGGAAGACCAGCCAACGAGGCGUCAGGCACCCUCACACAAUGAUGCCUCUUGUCUUGGGUUUCUGGAUCGGUGAUCGCACCUGGAAAAGACGGGCACGCCUGCAGCACUGGUUUAUAAUGCUGAUGAUUAACUAAAUAGAGUCUGGGCGAGCAGGUCUGCUUGGUUUUCUCAUUUCAUGUGUCCUGACUGACCCGGAGGAAGACGUCGACUUCUCAGGCUGGAAAUUCAAGACCUUUUUCCUUUUUCUUUUUCAUCCCACUCCCUCUUACACUGGUUUUGUUACAUUCUUUUUUUUUGGGCUACCUUUCAUGACGGUAAGGUUACAGGUGUAUUCUCAUUUUCCUUCUCCACCUUCUUGCCCUGAACUAUUCCCUCCCUUAUACACUUCUCCUGCUCUUGCUCUACCUCCCCCUCUAGCUAUUCUACUUUUGCUUACAGGAUGACAAAAAAAUAAAAAGCAAAAACCUUUUUCUCUUAAAAUAAAACCCAGUAACGCUCCAGUUUUAAAUUUAGCCCUUUAAGGACGAGAAUGUUCCACAAUGUUAACCUUUGACUAAAAUAAAGAACCUUCUACUGACCCAUGUUAGUGGACAUGGUGUAGGGAAUAUUUAGGUUAAACAUUAUGUUAUUUUCACCAUGUUCUAUAAAGUAGAAUAAUAUUUGGAUACCAGACUUGUGAAGGGCAGCAUGGGGGUGAGGACUUGUUGCGGUUUACCUGAGAAUGAGCUGUUAUUCAGUAAAGGAGGGCUGUGCCGCUGACCUUCUGCAUACAGAGAGUCAGCUCAGGUCGGGCUGAGCAGCAUUCCAUCAGCCUUUCAUCACUCGGCAAACACAAAGACAACUGGCCGAGAGAACAAACCAAAAUCUCCUUCUCCUUUCUUAUGGUCCACAGAACCUCUGUUGAACUGGACUUAAAAAUGCAACUUUAACGGACCUUAAACUUUGUGUUGUAACGUUAAAUCCGGGAUGCUGUAGUGCAACAGAAAUAACUCCCUCAGGCAGAUGCUUGACUUAGUGACAUUGUGGUGAGGAGGUACACGAUGUGCAACGUCUGAAAUUCGUAAGGGUCAUGUGUUAUGUGAAAAACAGCCCUCCCAGACUUGCCAGGCCAUAUAUUUAGACCAGUCACAACAGGUUUGGGCAAUCAUUAACAACUACUCUGGCCCAGUCUUCUGUGACAAUGAGUUUAAGCUCAAAAUCUCAACAAGGGCUCAACAAUGAUAUGACACAGAGAUGGCUUCCAAAGGUGGACUUCCAGUUUUUUUCUCCGUCACAAAACCAGAUUUAACCAGGAAUAUUUUCCCUGAAUUAGUUAAACCAAGCGACCAAGCAUGCGUACCUAAGGUAAAAUUCCUUUUGUUAGCUUCACAUUAGACGACACUGUCUCUUCAUGACUAUGCGCACAUGCACAUAGAAGAGGUAUAGCAUUAGAUGUUUGGGUGAUGAUCUCCAUCUUACGAGGCAGCAUUGGAUAUCAUCAGUUUUUCUAAUACUGCCUGGUAAUGAUGAUGCUAGUCAUCCGCUGACUGCACCAUACCAACCACUUUAGCUUCGUUCGCAUCUUGGGCAUUAAGAGAAUUGGCUCUCAGGAUCCAUCUUACCUGACAGUGCUGGAUUGUACAACUGUUGUUCUAACACUGUCUGGUAACGAUGUUUUCUGGGUGGUCACAUUUCACCGUCUGACUGAAAACCUGCCCUAAAGCGUUGGCAUAUCUCUUUCUCAUUGUGUGUGGUUGCGACGUCAGAUUUUCAACUCCAGAACAAAGUAAGUUAAUGGCUGUUCAAAUCUGUGAGGUCCCUGUUGCCAUCAGUAUCCAAGGGAGUGCACAGAUGGGUACAAGUCAAUAUUAGGUGUCGCAAUACAGAAAAAGAAAGACAGGGACACUCUUUAAACUUUUAUCCAAAUACACUCCUAAAGGCCAAAUAUUGUGAUCCCUGCCCCUAUGUCCCUUUUGUAAGUUAUAUUGUUGCCCCACCCAACCCACACUAAAGAACAGCAGUCGGUUGAUGGUUCCACCGGUCCAGCAGGCCCUUAUUUCCUUGUUCCCUCCCCUGCACAGUGUUGGUCUUUGUACUAUGAAGCAGUGAUUGGUCCAACUAGCCUUACCUGCGUGGCACAUCCUGAAACUGACACUGCGGCUCGCCUCAGACAAGGGCUGCAGACUCUGCAGACUCCUCCUCCCAGCUUCCAAAGGGUUUUAACCUCAACGGGACAAACAAAUGAUGAGAAAAUAAGGACAUUCUGCAACAAAAUACUAAUUUUACACGCAUCAGAUAUGUAAACUGUACACUGAUUUUUAGUAUUCUUCCUGUAAAAUAACAGAUUAAAACCUAAACAAGCGAAAUAAGUUGUUUAUUUGGUGUUUUCUUGUGUGCUUGGGCAGAAAUGUGAAUUUAAUGGGUAAAGCCUUCAAACAUACAUCAGAAACAAAUGCAAAUAACAGUUGUGGAGCUUGCACAAACCUAGUGUUUGUUUAAGGAGGGAGAAUUACCCCGCAAAUAUUGAGCCGCGCCUUUAUUUGCCCACCCAGCUCCAUUAUCCGAGGCACAGAGACAUGAAAUAGCAGUGUUUUUCCCCCGCUCGGCCGCCUCCUUUGUAUUAACCUCACAUAUUUGUGUAUUACCGUACUGAUGUAGAGUUUACCCUGCUUACUUUUUUCCUCAGUCUGUUUGCCUUUGGCUUUAUCCUCUCUCUCUCUGUGUGUGUCUGCACGCAUGGCCACGACAUCGUACACGUUGUGAUUGUGACAAAAGAGGAAGUGCUCAUUUCAAACUGUUCCUGCCACACUGUUCUGCUCUCCCUUCUUCCUCUUUGCACAGGUGAAAGGUGACAGAGGUCGUCCUUCCAGCCUGUUGAUAGGCGUCUUACCAGACAUGGUUAGAUGUAAUAAAUGGUAUCUAAUACUGUCUGGUAAUGCCGUCCAUUAAAUGGCGUUACCUGCUGCUGUCUCACUUCCCCCUGUCGCUCUCAUGCCUCUCACAUGCAACGUGUUGACAAAGGCCAUUCCAGGGACACGCUUCAACAUAUUAAUAGCGGCAGCAGACGGGAUGGCCGAUGACGGGUUUGAUGAAUAUGAAACUAUGAUCCCGGCACUGGAAGAGUGGUCGAUUUAAUUUGGGUUUCUUCCAUGUGUCUUGAGUCAGAGUUUCUGUGUUAAGCAGCGGUCCGCACCAGCCAAUCAGAUCCCGUAAUACACUGUAUGUAUUGUAAAUGAGGUGCUGGGAAUAUUAACGUGAAUAUUAUGUGUAAAAAGAAAAAGGAACUGCUGCCUUCCUCUUAGCUCAGUGACUGAAUUCCUCCUGCUAAUGUGGUUUUUCUCUGGACAAUUUUAGAAAACCCAUGUUGUACCUGAUUUCAUGUUUUGUGAAAAGAUGCAAUAAAAUGAGCUAGAAUUUAAAACAUCUUGUCAUGUUCUCUUUCUGACAUCUUCUCCAUCAGCAAAAUUUUCACUUGAUUUUUGCAGCAGGUUUUCCCAUCAGUGCAAACUCUUCCCUGGGUCAGACCGGAAUGCAGAGCCCCAGUCAGGUGUGGAUCAAAUUACCAGCUGAACAGAGCUCCUAUUUAAAUACCUCAAUUUACCCACCAGGUCUCCCCCCUGACCAGCUAAGCCCUCAUUGUGUCCCGCUCUAUGGCAGCGCACAGUAGGCCGGCUUGAUAAACGGGGACACACAAGGUGCGUUUUCACUGCUUGGACCCGAGUGAAUCCACCGCACACUCGGCUGCUUUUGCUCGCUGAAAUCCAUACACUUAUUUUACAUGCUCACUGGUUACUUUUCGUUUUUUAAUGAGUGCUGCUUUUCUCCUAUCUCCGCUUCACAGUAACUCACAGAGCUAAUAGCAUUUGUGAGGCGUUUAAUUAGGCCGGCUCACUCUGGGCUUCAGUUGACUGCUUAAAUGCAGCUCUGAUUUUAUCAGUUGGAACACAA
Thalassophryne amazonica is the source of this 4322-nucleotide long non-coding RNA. RefSeq lists it as uncharacterized. NCBI's taxonomy places the organism in Eukaryota, Metazoa, Chordata, Actinopteri, Batrachoidiformes, Batrachoididae. The transcript is spliced from 2 exons. The record is from RefSeq and is a predicted model, not a curated record.